UCUAAUAUGGCAGAUUAGUGCAUUGGAUUUAAACCCCAAAAAUAAAGCUUACACUUUUUUUAGAA
This 65-nucleotide transfer RNA is filed under the name Curculionoidea sp. 1 KM-2017. RNAcentral's name for it is "tRNA-Leu". It matches the Rfam family "tRNA". Rfam says of the family: Transfer RNA (tRNA) molecules are approximately 80 nucleotides in length. Their secondary structure includes four short double-helical elements and three loops (D, anti-codon, and T loops). Further hydrogen bonds mediate the characteristic L-shaped molecular structure. tRNAs have two regions of fundamental functional importance: the anti-codon, which is responsible for specific mRNA codon recognition, and the 3' end, to which the tRNAs corresponding amino acid is attached (by aminoacyl-tRNA synthetases). tRNAs cope with the degeneracy of the genetic code in two manners: having more than one tRNA (with a specific anti-codon) for a particular amino acid; and 'wobble' base-pairing, i.e. permitting non-standard base-pairing at the 3rd anti-codon position. The record is from RNAcentral. Lineage: Eukaryota; Metazoa; Arthropoda; Insecta; Coleoptera.